Molecule: non-coding RNA, 116 nt
Organism: Vibrio sp. N418
Lineage: Bacteria; Pseudomonadati; Pseudomonadota; Gammaproteobacteria; Vibrionales; Vibrionaceae
Source: Rfam
UUAUCUUGGUGGCGCACUUGGAAUAGUUCUUGGUGGGCUAGCGUGUAUUUCUAAACUAUCGACAGAUUGAAAAAGAAGUCACUCGUAAAGCCCGCUAAGUUAGCGGGCUUUUUGUU